This 400-nucleotide ribosomal RNA is filed under the name uncultured bacterium. Its description in RNAcentral is "bacterial SSU rRNA". It matches the Rfam family "Bacterial small subunit ribosomal RNA", at positions 355 to 752 of the family's 1533-position model. The record is from RNAcentral.
GGAGGAAUAUUGGACAAUGGAGGCAACUCUGAUCCAGCCAUGCCGCGUGAAGGAUUAAGGCCCUAUGGGUUGUAAACUUCUUUUAGACGGGACAAAACCCCUUUACGUGUAAAGGGUUGAUGGUACUGUCAGAAUAAGCAUCGGCUAACUUCGUGCCAGCAGCCGCGGUAAUACGAAGGAUGCAAGCGUUAUCCGGAAUUAUUGGGUUUAAAGGGUGCGUAGGCGGACUAAUAAGUCAGUGGUGAAAGCCUGCAGCUUAACUGCAGAAUUGCCGUUGAUACUGUUAGUCUUGAGUACAGUUGAGGUAGCGGAAUGUGUCGAUGUAGCGGUGAAAUGCUUAGAUAUGACACAGAACACCGAUUGCGAAGGCAGCUUGCUAAGCUGUAACUGACGCUGAGGC